GGGUCAAAUCUUAUCCCCAAAUUAUUCCGGGGCUCAGAUUGGUGUGAAUGGGACGAGAAGGUCACUUGAAAUCGCCUUUUAUCCGCUGGCUUUUUUUUUUUGGAUCAGCAACUUUCAAUAGACAUAAUCUAAUCGCCCUUAAUGGAAAGGCCAUUCGUGAGAAAUAAUGGAAUUAUUCUUGUGUUUAUACAGGCCAUCGAGGCAUUUAAAAGGCAACAAGAGUUCACAAAAUUUCUUGGUUAUUAAUUAUUACUGAUAACUGAAAAGUGUCCCCCCCCCCACAGGAUGGGUUUAUAUAUAAACUUAUUGCAUAUUUAUGGUAUUACAAUUACCUUGUUAAUAUAUUAUUUCAUUAUUAUAGUGCAAUGCAAGUUUUUACGACUAUUGCUAUAAGUCAUAUUUUUGCCCUCAAUGGACUGUAGUUUAACUGUACUAUUACAUUACCCCAGUGUGAAUUAUCCUAGUUUGUAUGGAGAUAUCAUUGUCUAUUCUCUCAUUAUUUUUAACAUGUCCUCGCCUCUCCCGGGAUUUGAGAUCCUUCAGUUUUAGACGUAAUGAUUGAAAGUCUCUUUCCAGGAUUUUAGCAUCCCGGACUGUAAUUGAGGACAAUAACUGCAAUGACUUUCCAAAUUAGGCUUAAGGUUGGAGUAAAAGUUCGAGGGGCUGUCAGUUUAAGCCACAUGCAAUGGCUUUAUUGCUCACUAACCAUCAGUACUUUAGAGCCCAUAUGCUAAUUACUGCGGAUGGUCCCAGAAACGGAGAUUAUAAAUCCAUUAGCACCCAAACCCUCGUGGUUCCACACUGCAAACCCUGUAAUUCUGUAGUAUACCCCCCCGCACCCCCCCCCCCCCCCAAAAAAACAAACUUUAAGCACCAGGAGCUCCAUGAAGGGAAACAGAUUUUCAGCAGCGCGUGCAGCUACUUCUAACGGACCCACUGCGAAGGGAAGCCCAGCGUUUAUCAAUCAGCAGCUACACCGAAACACACACAGCAAAACAAGCAGAACACCACGGUAACUGACAGGGGGGGGGGGGGGACUGCCCACUCGGUGGCCAGUGGUAAUGUAUAAAAACAACCUGUUUGUAUUACCAUGAAUGAUCAACACAACACGCCCAUAACACUGUGGUGGAGAAAUCAUUUUUUCACCCCUCAUUACCAUUAGGGACGUGCAGAGUGUCCAGGGAGCGACGCCACAUAACGGAGGAAAGUGAAUUAAAAUUAGACGACGUAAUACCCGUUUGACCGCGUUUAAUGUGGGGAAUAGAAGAAAAAACCCAACGGAACCCAGACGGGUUUAUGUGAAUGCAUCACGCCCUUAAAGUAAUUUAUUUCAGGGAAACCAGAGGGCAAAGGUGGAAUUCUUGAGAAAUUCAACAAGGAUAAGGGAGCUUUAAGACUUCUGCACGCAGAUUACCUUUCAUCCCAUUCUCACAUUAUCCGACAACACACAGUAGAAAUGUAGCUCAGCGACAAAAGAGUGAGAUUACCCUCCGACACUGAAGAGUGCAAAACAUUUUUUUUAAAGAAUUAUUGCCAUUGUUAGUGGGAGCGAACGAGGAGAGAGAGAGAGAGAGAGAGAGGGGGAGGGAGAGAGAGAGAAACGGACAGAUAGGGCAGGGGAGGAAGAGGGGGAGUCAAGGGAAGGGUAAUUCCCUGUGUGCUUUCAAAGGGGGAGACAAAAAAAAUAAAACGAUUGCCGUUCAGAGAAUUUCUUGCCACUGUCGUAGUGUUGUAGUGAAGGAUCAAUUCAGUUUAAAAGAGUUUACCCUUGUUAUUCCCAUAAAACACUAUAUCUGUAAAGAUGACUUGAGGAUGAGAUUAAUUCUCUUCUGAUGACAGACUUUGUUUACACUGUUGGUUCUGAUGCCUGCAAAGAUUAUUGAAACAGGAUCAGUUUUUGCCUCUUUUUGGUUCAACUUGUUUAACUUCUGGUUUGUAACUUCAGUAAAUGAGUGGCAUCGCAUCAGCACUGCAUUAUUUUUGCUCUACCCUCCCGCGGCCCCCCAAAAAACAACAACACACAGCAAGGGCUAAAUUGGAAAUGCAUUGUAGCUGAACCAUCAGUAUGCCAGAGCUAAGACUGACUGAGCACACAGCCCUGUUUACAUCAGUAAAGAGAAAACAGAAGAAAAGUCCUCACAAACUGUCCGAGGAAGAUUGUCUUUGAUUGAACUGUUCGUUUACAUUUGUCAAGCUUGAAAAUAUUUCAUGUCAUGAAUGACACUUACAGGGUCAUCAAGUUAGUUUCACUUUAAUCUUAACCCACCUAAAAAAACCCUAAAAAUAUGUUUUCCCUUUAUAAUGCUAACAUAUAGCAAAGAGAUGGUUUGUUUUUUCAUAUUUCACUCAUUCCUGAUCGAAAAAAAUGCCCCGAACAUCUACAAACAUGCACAAAUCCCUAUUUGAUUUGUGUGUAUUUUCAUUUGAAAGGUGUGUAUCUGCUUUUAGCAUGAAGGGGCACAUGUGUGUAAAAAGACAGUGAAGUGAAGGUGGCCCAUGUUCAGUGUCCAGACGCGGCAGAUUGUGACCUUAUCAACGUGAAAUUCUUAAGAUAAAUUAUUCAUAGCACCUGUUUGAUGUCUCUGGCCAAAGAAUGACAAAGGUGUAAGAUUUAAGAUCCAUCUAAAACGGCAUAAAUAUCAGCCACUGUCUAUCUCUUUUUUUAGAGCAAAUAAAAAAGGAGUUAGGCUUCAUUUCAAACCACAAAAAUAAUACAUCACAGGUGUCCAGUAUUUACAGUAUGUCUUCCUGAUGUAUCCCCAAUUUGAUGUGAAACUUAAAGCAGAUAUUGGACCCAUUUGGUGGAGCUAACCGUGGCCUUUUGUAACCGACUCUGUGUUAUGUUCCCUCGCAGGCAGCGAGCGACAGCAGUUGGGGAAACACAGCGGGUCGUGUUGGCGGAAGGCCGGACACUGUGAUCGAGUGUAAUUCACUGCUUAGUAUGGAGAGAAAACCAAAAGAGUAUGAGCAAAACAGAAGCCGUGUUAAGAUUUUCUAACACGCCGUUCCGCAGAAUGCUGCCACCCGUGUCUUUAGGGGAAAAAAGGGGGCUAUUGGUAUUCCUCUUCAGGAUGCUGGUUAAGAGCUCCUAGCUACAAGCCGCACACAGAGUCACUGAUGAUGGACGCCCGCGGGGCCGUCACAGAGCCACACAGGAGCGUGGACACCAACGAUGCCGGAUGGGGCUUGUGUUUAUCUGCUGGAGCAUCCAUCACUUGGCCGUAGGAGUUCCAAAUCAGCUCCUUGUAAGUGGAGAUUUAUGCUGUAAUGCAUCAAAUCAACAGACCUUUACAGUAAAAUAUGACUUUAUCAAUAGGCCUGAUCAAUAGUGCAUGCAAGACAGUGUAAUUAUUACAGAGGUCUAUAUCAAUAAAACUGUCAUGCAUGACCUCCUGCCAAAGGCUACGGAGCUGUGAGUCACAGACAGUGGAAGAAAGGUUUGUGUCAUAGCCCUGAGAUGUUCGAUUACCUGUACAGUAUAUACGGUCUUGAAUGUACGUACUCAUCAGGACACGCUCACCUCGAGUCAGGCGAGGAAAGUUUUUUCAGCUGGGACAACUGUAUGUAUGUCUAUUGGAUUUCAUUCACCAAUUAAAACUACUGGGUCUAUUUAGAUACAGAUGUGCUUUGUUUUCUUGCACCUCUGCCGACAUUACCGAUAAUAACCUUUAGAGCUGGGGAUAACGGCCUUUACUGUAGUGGGUCUAAGAGUGGAGGAAAGACUGUAAAGAGAGCAUUGUAUUACACUAAAUCGAGAGCACUCUGCAUUAACACACACACACACACGCACAUCUAGUACACUAGAGAGAGAGCGUGAGGCAGGGACCAAUGAGGCAGUUUAUAUCGGGAUUUUGUUUCACAGCCACGGCCUCCUGGGAGAGAGGGGUCUGCCAAUAACACUUAAGAGACAGAGCAGGAAAAGUAAGUGCUUUUAUUACAGCUCAUCACUCAUGUAAUUUCUGGCAGCAUUUGUGAUUACAGAUCAAGUGAUUGACUAACUACACAUUCGGCAGCUGAGUUAUGAACUGGGUGCCUACCAUUCCAGCCCCGGCAGAUUCUCCGUGUCAGCUGUAACUCAUCCUCACCCACAGUGCUAAAUCAAAGAGCACACUGCGGCCGGAAGAGUUAAAUAAUAACUUGAGCUUUAUUGUAAAUCUUUCAGAGAUUCAACCUGUGUGGACGUCAUCUUGGCUCUGAUGUCGUACUGCAUGGGGUAAAGAAGAUGGUUGGAGGGGAUCAAUAGAAGGCCAGAUGGAGAUAUUGAUGGAUGACAGGUAAGGUGUGCGUGUGCUUGGGGUCGUGUGUGUGAAGGUAAGAUGACAUGUGUGUGUCUGUGUGUGUGUGUAUGAGGGGUGGGAUUGAAUCACCCUGUGUUAGGUUAGGUUAGGUUGAGAGCACAGCCCAGGGCGUCUAAUCGACAGGUCUCACCUUGAAUUGAUCAGCCCGAGUCUCACAGGGCAAAGAUGUGAUACACACGACCAACACUUUCUCACAUACAGCAAAACAAACCAUAGGGAGUGUAGGCAACAACAGGGUGGGCGGAUGGACGAUGUCGAUUAGUAUCGCUGCCAGUGUGUUGUCAGUGUUUGAUUUGGGAAUUCGUAAUAAACUCCAAAAAUUUAGAAGCAUUUUAGUUUUGCUUCUUCUUGAACACCAUUUUGUGACCCUUAAAAUACUUUUGUUUCGAUUCCGAUACAAACAAAAACAUUUUGGUUUUACCCUUAAACACUGGGAUCAAGGAAAUAAAUAGGUUUGAAGGGAAGAUGUAUUCAUGUCAGUUGAAAUGAAAACCACGGUCAAGUUCACAUAGAGACUAAACACAGGGGUCUUAGUAUAGGAGUCUUAGUAUAGCAUAAAGAAAAAAAAAAUAUAGCAAUAUGCUAUAUCUUUUUUAUAUAGCAAUAAAAAAGAUAGCAUAUUACAAUAUGAACAAGGUUAUCGUAUAGGAUUUCAAAACAAAGUAAUAAAGCAGUCACACUAUUCUGUUUCAUAAAAAUGUCAUAAUAUGACAUGUCAUGAAAUGCCCUUUAAAUUCAUAAAUAUCAGUGGCAUUUUUGUAUGUCAUACGAAUCUUUAAAAAAAAACAAAGUAUUCUACGUCUUGAAAAGUCCAUACAUGAACGUAUAGUUCUAAUAAAAGUCAGAGUAGUUUAUUUUUACAAAAAAAAAAUCCAUUGGAACUAUUAGUAUAUGUCUUAGGAAUGUCAUUUGUAGUAUAUCAUUUUAGUACGCAUCAUGGAAAGAGAUGUCUGUCAUAAAAAUUCUGGAAAAAUGUUAUAGUACAUCAUAAAUAAGUUAUAGUGUUGCAUAUGAUAAAAAAGAAAGUUUUCACAAAAGGUCACAGUAUUAAAUGUCAUAUAAAGGUAGUACUAUAAUAUGUCACCCAAUGCCCAAAAAUAUUGUUAUAAAAAUGUGGAAAAGCCACUGUCUACUAACUCCAUGCUGAUGACACAUUUUGAAUUAAAAAAGUGGAUCAAAUUUUCUGCUUCAUGAACCAGUCAUUAUAAGUCUGCAAAACACCACAAAAUGAGUUCAAAAAAAGGUUAAAAAGUUAUACUACACACAUACCCAUGUUGAGUAAAGGCAAAAAAAACUCAACCAUACGCCAUCAAUUUGUUUUAAUUCAUAAAGGAGCCACCAAAUAAUUUGAACUUGAAGUUUAAAGUGUAUGAGACAUUUCUGUCAAAAGAAAAUCCUUCACAGGACUGAAACAAACCAGUUUGCACCGCAAGACCUCAAGGCUGAUGAAGAACCUUGCUCAAAGAAACACAAAUAAACCACAGCACUCAAAGGAAGUUUUGCUUCCUGAAACCAUCUUAUGGUACCUCUGCAGCAACUUGAUUUCCUCACACUCAAAAGAGCUGCAGUCAAUGAGUCAGACUGCAGAGGCAGACAUAAAGACCCUCUUCUGUCUUACCAGAGGCCAAGAUCUAAGGGGGCGGAUCAGAUGAAUUACUCUGGUGCAGAGAAUUAAAUCGUGGAUUCUUCAAAAGUAGUAUCAAAAAAACAAAAAAUGCGUCUGUGUCUCGGAUAGUACAUGAAUAGUUCAGGAGAGGAAAAAGUUGGACGUGUGAUCCCGGGGGAAACGGCGGGGAUGACAUUUUAGCUUUUUGUUCAGGGCUCAGAUCAAGUCAUGGAGGAAAGACUUGUGAACAGGAGACUUGAGCCCACGGAGGUCCACCAAGAGGUCUUGGUUUUGGCCUGGGAAAAAAUUGGGGUCAGCUCCCCCUUUUUGGACCAAUUCAAUCAGAUGGGUAGAUCUUUCCUAAGGAGACAGAGACAAGAAAAAUACCUCAGCCUCAUAACUACUACAUAUAAAAUUGUCAACAUUUAUGCUGACUGGGUCUACUACUGCUACUUGGUUCUGUAAUGAAUGCAUUUUGUUAAUAGAGUUGCCGCUAUUUUCUGUGGAGAUGCAGGUCCAGGAGGCUUGUUCCUGACGCAGGGGCUGGACGUGUGGGGAGUUGGUUAGCCUCUACCGGAAGACAGAAGAGAUAUGACAUUAAAAAGCAAUGAAAACCUUGCUAUGUUGCAAAACAUAUGUCUCAUUGUGUUUUUAUUGAUAUGUUGCGCUAACGUCAGCCCCAAGCUAGCCUCUAUUCAGCAAACAAUGAGUGACUGUCACUGUGUGUCUAUGAGCCCUGCGGAGUGGUUUGCUUUGUUGUUGGCCAGUAAAUCCCAAUAAAGUAUUUGAAUGAAUGGCUAUUUGUUAAACCAUGUAGUCUCAUUUUCUACUUUAACAUAAAAGUACAGGAUAUUCAAAAUAUCAGCAUCCAAGGCAAUCAUUGGCAGAGUGGGUCUGAGGAACACAACAGGAAGUGUAAUGAAACUAUGGCCCCUAUUGCUCUUCAGUCCAAGUGAAGUAACUAAAGGCUCUUCCAGGGGGUUAUUUGUUAAGUAACAGAUGGAACCUUUCCAGUAACCUUCCCAACACUGGACUCAGUGUCCACAGUUGGAUAAAAGGAAACCCCAUUUGACAAUGUUAAAAUAUUUCCGCCCCAAUCUUGGGUAGUACAAUAGUAAGAAUUCAUUCAUGUGUGUACAUUCAUAUUGCAUGUGUAUGUGUCGAGGUGAGAGAAUAACCCUGGUAUGGUUGCCUUCAUCAGUGCACAGUGUAAAUCUAAUUGGCUUUAUUAGGGGGCUUAAAUCUAAUACCAGCUCUGCGUGCAGCAGGCUUCUCUUGGUGUGUGUGUGUGUGUGUGUGCGCCGCAGUUGGAUGUCUACGACUCACCACAUUUCUCAUUGACUGUUUUCGAUGUAACAGUCAUAAGUAAAAAGACUAAUACGGUAAUACAACUCCAUUCCCUCCUCAGCCCCCACCAGGCAAAAAAAGCAUUUAGGGGUUCAAGUCCAAUGAAGCAGCAGCACUGUGGCACUAGAUGUAACGUACAGACUUAAGGCAAGAGAAAAGACUGCGCCGCAACAUUUGACCCCAUUUAAAAACUUGAUACCAAUUAGAGAGUUAUGAGAGUAAAUAAUUUAGGAGACCUCGCUUACUGAACACACACACACAAAUAAUCCUACAGUCAUGCACACACGUACGCAUGAACGUGCAUCGACACGAUCUCACGCAUUAACCUAUGAAGACAUAACGCGCACUCCUAUGCGUGCGCAGACACCGGGGCACACAGACACACACACAUAAAGAUUCCACUAUGCUCUGGAAACAGACUUCUUAAUGAAGCCUUUCCCAAGUGAAAGUAGAGCAGAAAUACACACUGGCCCAUUUCUGCCUUCAGUUCGUCCUCCUCUCAUCGCUCCAUUCCUCUCCCUCACCUUUUCCACAUCAUUUGUUUUAUUCAUGUUUUGUUGUCUCACUCUGUUGUGUCAAUGAGUUAAAUCACAACCCCUAAUUUAUGGCUCCAGGCAGAGACACUGCCACAAACGCGCCGGCUGAUGAGAGGGGGUGACUGAAAACGUACGCGCCGAGCGCCGUGUAAAUCUUAUGACGGCGGUUACUGUCUUUUUAUCUAUGGUUAUUUACAUAGGAAAUGACAACGUGUGCUGAAGAAUGGCUCUGAUACCAAAUGAAAAAGGCUGUGCACUAGAGGAGAGGAAAGUGAGAGAAAGACAGAGUAGGGGAUGGGGGGGGGACGAGAGAGUAAAUCCAGCGACACUGAGUGGGGAGCACUCAGGUGUGGUGAGAGGAUUAUACAAAAACCCUGAGUAUGAAUGACAGUAAACACCUGAAUGACAGAGACGGGGAGGGGAGGGGCGGAGGCCUGUGUGUGUGUUUGUGUGUGUGUCUCUAGGAGGUGUGAGUGAAUGUCGCCACUCAAUGCUGCGAGGGCUCUACUGUUUACUAAAGUGCAACUUGUUUUGCUACAGCAAGAAACUGAAACAAAUUUAAGAAAAGGACGUGUUGGAAUAAGGAUGUCACGAGGCAGGAAGGUGAUGAUAUCAAUCAGGAGCGAUCCACUGAGAAUUCAGGAGCUGUUUGGUUAGCUAGUGAAUUAUAUAUUAAGCUAUACAGCAUGCAAGUAGGUAAAUAAAAGGACUGGAGAGCAGGAAAGAGGAUACAUGUUUUAUCUUACUUCUCUCUCGUGCAUCAGUAUGAGAUCACUGAAAAGGUCCCUGAAACGCAACACAUUCCCUGUAUUCUCUACAACACAAACACACAAAUCAGCCCCUCCGAUUAACCCUUUUUGUCUUAUGUCAUCAAAUUCUUUAUUUCACGACUGUUUAAUUGCCUUGUUACCUUUAAAACAUUUUUUUUCCAAUCAGAGAUUGUGUGUCAAUUUCUAUUUUCAUGCAACUGGGUAAGCUGAAGGCUUUUAAAAAAAAAAAAGCGUAUUUCUUUGCAAGCCACGAGAAGGAGUGCCAACACCGGCCUCCUCUUGUGUAAUGCUACCAUGCUUUUUUAAACUUUGGCUUUAGGUUCCAUUCAAAAGGGAGCAAUGCGUGUCGAUUCCUAGAUCUGCUCUUAGUGAAAUCCCUCACCUCUGGAGCUAUAUCACUGUACAGUGCUGACUCUACAUGAAGCGUGACCUCGUUUCCCCCUCGGCGACCCCCUCCUUCCCUUCACAGUCUUGGAAGAUAGAGCAGCACAGGGGAAACGCAUGCCAAGGCUGUAGACACUUUUAAGCAAAGAUUAAAGGUUUUUCUUUUUAAUCAGUCAUUUGGCAGCAAUGUUAGCCUUUCACCAUAGUGCAGCUAAGGAUCAAUUUUUAAUGCUGCUGUGCAGAGAGCAGACAGGGUGAUUGGCAAGAGAGAAGCUAUUUACAAAGGAUCUAUUUACAAAUUUCCAAUAGAAAUAUGCAGAGGGCACAAUUGACAUCUCUUACAGAAUUUUAAAGAAGCUCUUUUCCUCUCUUUCGUCAUGAGGCACGACCUCUGUGAGCCCCUGAUGAUCACUGUUCUCCCUGUGUGUAAGAGAGCAUGUGUGUGUUCACUCUCAUGCGUCUCACAUGUACUGUAAGAACAAUAAAGGCAUCUACACCUC
Gasterosteus aculeatus aculeatus (three-spined stickleback) is the source of this 9441-nucleotide non-coding RNA. Lineage: Eukaryota; Metazoa; Chordata; Actinopteri; Perciformes; Gasterosteidae. The record is from RefSeq and is a predicted model, not a curated record.